This 879-nucleotide ribosomal RNA is filed under the name uncultured bacterium. RNAcentral's name for it is "bacterial SSU rRNA". It matches the Rfam family "Bacterial small subunit ribosomal RNA", at positions 12 to 902 of the family's 1533-position model. The record is from RNAcentral.
UUUGAUCCUGGCUCAGGACGAACGCUGGCGGCGCGCCUAACACAUGCAAGUCGAACGGAGUCAAGAGGAGCUUGCUUUUCUUGACUUAGUGGCGAACGGGUGAGUAUCGCGUGAGUAACCUGCCCUGGAGUGGGGGACAACAGUUGGAAACGACUGCUAAUACCGCAUAAGCCCACGGAUCCGCAUGGAUCUGCGGGAAAAGGAUUUAUUCGCUUCAGGAUGGACUCGCGUCCAAUUAGCUAGUUGGUGAGGUAACGGCCCACCAAGGCGACGAUUGGUAGCCGGACUGAGAGGUUGAACGGCCACAUUGGGACUGAGACACGGCCCAGACUCCUACGGGAGGCAGCAGUGGGGGAUAUUGCACAAUGGGGGAAACCCUGAUGCAGCGACGCCGCGUGGAGGAAGAAGGUUUUCGGAUUGUAAACUCCUGUCGUUAGGGACGAUAAUGACGGUACCUAACAAGAAAGCACCGGCUAACUACGUGCCAGCAGCCGCGGUAAAACGUAGGGUGCAAGCGUUGUCCGGAAUUACUGGGUGUAAAGGGAGCGCAGGCGGACCGGCAAGUUGGAAGUGAAAACUAUGGGCUCAACCCAUAAAUUGCUUUCAAAACUGCUGGCCUUGAGUAGUGCAGAGGUAGGUGGAAUUCCCGGUGUAGCGGUGGAAUGCGUAGAUAUCGGGAGGAACACCAGUGGCGAAGGCGACCUACUGGGCACCAACUGACGCUGAGGCUCGAAAGCAUGGGUAGCAAACAGGAUUAGAUACCCUGGUAGUCCAUGCCGUAAACGAUGAUUACUAGGUGUUGGAGGAUUGACCCCUUCAGUGCCGCAGUUAACACAAUAAGUAAUCCACCUGGGGAGUACGACCGCAAGGUUGAAACUC